RNAcentral lists this ribosomal RNA (253 nucleotides) under uncultured bacterium. Its description in RNAcentral is "partial 16S ribosomal RNA". It matches the Rfam family "Bacterial small subunit ribosomal RNA", at positions 524 to 776 of the family's 1533-position model. The record is from RNAcentral.
GACGAACCGAGCGAACGUUAUUCGGAAUCACUGGGCUUAAAGGGCGCGUAGGCGGGCGGCCAAGUCAGGGGUGAAAGCCUCCAGCUCAACUGGAGAAGUGCCUUUGAUACUGGUCAUCUUGAGGGAGGUAGGGGCGUGCGGAACUUCCGGUGGAGCGGUGAAAUGCGUAGAUAUCGGAAGGAACACCGGUGGCGAAAGCGGCGCGCUGGACCUCUUCUGACGCUGAGGCGCGAAAGCCAGGGGAGCAAACGGG